RNAcentral lists this ribosomal RNA (467 nucleotides) under uncultured bacterium. RNAcentral's name for it is "partial 16S ribosomal RNA". It matches the Rfam family "Bacterial small subunit ribosomal RNA", at positions 28 to 506 of the family's 1533-position model. The record is from RNAcentral.
GACGAACGCUGGCGGCGUGCUUAACACAUGCAAGUCGAACGGAAAGGCCCUGCUUUUGUGGGGUGCUCGAGUGGCGAACGGGUGAGUAACACGUGAGUAACCUGCCCUUGACUUUGGGAUAACUUCAGGAAACUGGGGCUAAUACCGGAUAGGAGCUCCUGCUGCAUGGUGGGGGUUGGAAAGUUUCGGCGGUUGGGGAUGGACUCGCGGCUUAUCAGCUUGUUGGUGGGGUAGUGGCUUACCAAGGCUUUGACGGGUAGCCGGCCUGAGAGGGUGACCGGCCACAUUGGGACUGAGAUACGGCCCAGACUCCUACGGGAGGCAGCAGUGGGGAAUAUUGCACAAUGGGCGGAAGACGGAGGCAGCAACGCCGCGUGCGGGAGGACGGCCUUCGGGUUGUAAACCGCUUUCGCCUGUGACGAAGCGUGAGUGACGGAAAUGGGUAAAGAAGCACCGGCUAACUACGU